AUUUCCUACUAUAGGAGGCAGACUCCAAAAUGACCCCAAUGACCUUGCUUUCUGGGUGUUCAUGCCCUUGUAUAAUCCCUUCCCACUGAGUGAGGGCUGAAUGACAGAUUUCCAACAACCAGAAUACAACAAAAGUAAUGGAAUGCCACUUCUCAGAUUAGUUGAAAAAAAAAGACUGUGAUUUGUGCCUCUUUUGUCCUCUUGCUCUCUCUCUCUCAGCCCUCACUAUUGGGAAGCAAGUUGCCAUCUUAUGAGCAGGGAGAGGCCCACAUCCCAAGGAGCUGAUGUUUCUGGCCAACAGCCAGUGAGGACCUGAGGCCUGCCAGGUCACAUGAGGGAGCCUGGAAGUGGGUCUUCUCAGUCCUGCCAACAGCUGUGAGUGAGCAUGGACGCAGAUCCUCUCCCAGUGGAGCAUUUGGAUGACCACGGCUCUGGCUAACACCUCACUUACAGCCUUGGGAGAGAUUCUGAGUCAGAGGCAUCCAGCUAAAUUGACCCACAGACACGGUCCCGGUUUAUGACUGCAAAACAAUGGUUUAAACAGUAUUCAUUCUGGAACAUCACUCAAUUUCACUAAUACUAGAUCCCAAACACUCUGAUAUCAGAAUGUUCUUCCCUAUUCGGGCUAGUUUAUAAAGUUCAUUUGAGAGUAUUCUGAAAUUAAAUAAAACAAACCUAAAACAGUAAGACUGCAUAUUGGAAAAUGAUACUGUGUAUAAUUUUUGAGACAUCUAGCAAUCAGAUGACUAUGCCACCAUUUCAUUCUUUAAUCUCAGCAUUUUGGGAGGCCGAGGUGGGCAGAUCAUGAGGUCAGGAGAUCCAGACUGUCCUCGCUAACACGGUGAAACCCCAUCUCCACUAAAAAUACAAAAAAUUAGCCGGGUGUGGUGGCAGGCACCUGUAGUCCCAGCUACUAGGGAGGCUGAAGCAGGAGAAUGGCAUGAACCCAGGAGGCGGAGAUUGCAGUGAGCUCCCGCGCCACUGCACUCCAGCCUGGGUGACAGAGCGAGA
RNAcentral lists this long non-coding RNA (1011 nucleotides) under Homo sapiens (human). RNAcentral's name for it is "HSALNT0125794". Lineage: Eukaryota; Metazoa; Chordata; Mammalia; Primates; Hominidae. The record is from RNAcentral.